AAUGAACGCUGGCGGUAUGCUUAACACAUGCAAGUCGAACGAAGAUUUUUAAUCUUAGUGGCGGACGGGUGAGUAACACGUGAGAAUCUGCCCUUAGGAAGAGGAUAACAGCUGGAAACGGUUGCUAAUACUCUAUACGCCGAAAGGUAAAAGGAAAUAUCCACCUUAGGAAGAGCUCGCGUCUGAUUAGCUUGUUGGUGAGGUAAUGGCUCACCAAGGCGACGAUCAGUAGCUGGUUUGAGAGGACGACCAGCCACACUGGGACUGAGACACGGCGCAGACUCCUACGGGAGGCAGCAGUGGGGAAUUUUCCGCAAUGGGCGAAAGCCUGACGGAGCAAUACCGCGUGGGGGAUGAAAGCCUGUGGGUUGUAAACCUCUUUUCUCAAGGAGGAAAUUUUGACGGUACUUGAGGAAUAAGCAUCGGCUAACUCUGUGCCAGCCGCCGCCGUAA
Molecule: ribosomal RNA, 453 nt
Filed under: uncultured bacterium
Lineage: Bacteria
Description: partial 16S ribosomal RNA
Rfam family: Bacterial small subunit ribosomal RNA
Source: RNAcentral